UAGCCGUAAACGAUACUCGCUAGGUGUCGGCCACGGUGCGACCGUUGUCGGUGCCGUAGGGAAGCCGUGAAGCGAGCCACCUGGGAAGUACGGCCGCAAGGCUGAAACUUAAAGGAAUUGGCGGGGGAGCACCACAACGGGUGGAGCUUGCGGUUUAAUUGGAUUCAACGCCGGAAAUCUUGCCGGGACCGACAGCAACAUGAAGGCCAGGCUGAAGACUUUGCCGGAUUAGCUGAGAGGAGGUGCAUGGCGUAGUCGUGU
Molecule: ribosomal RNA, 261 nt
Filed under: uncultured archaeon
Lineage: Archaea
Description: partial 16S ribosomal RNA
Rfam family: Archaeal small subunit ribosomal RNA
Source: RNAcentral